UACGUAGGUGGCAAGCGUUGUCCGGAUUUAUUGGGCGUAAAGCGCGCGCAGGCGGUUCCGCAAGUCCUGUGUGAAAUCUUCGGGCUCAACUCGAAGUCUGCACGGGAAACUGCGGGGCUUGAGUGUGGGAGAGGUGAGUGGAAUUCCCAGUGUAGAGGUGAAGUUCGUAGAUAUUGGGAAGAACACCGGUGGCGAAGGCGGCUCUCUGGACCACAACUGACGCUGAGGCGCGAAAGCGUGGGGAGCAAACAGG
This 253-nucleotide ribosomal RNA is filed under the name uncultured bacterium. RNAcentral's name for it is "partial 16S ribosomal RNA". It matches the Rfam family "Bacterial small subunit ribosomal RNA", at positions 524 to 776 of the family's 1533-position model. The record is from RNAcentral.